GACGAACGCUGGCGGCGUGCCUAAUACAUGCAAGUCGAGCGAUGAAGAUUGGUGCUUGCACCAAUUUGGAGAGCAGCGAACGGGUGAGUAACGCGUGGGGAAUCUGCCUUUGAGCGGGGGGCAACAUUGGGAAACGAAUGCUAAUACCGCAUAAGAACUUUAAACAUAAGGUGGAAGGGUGAAAGACGGAAUUGCAGCACGCAAAGACGAUCCCGCGUUGUGUUAGUGAGGUGGUGAGGUAAAGGCUCACCAAGGCGAUGAUACAUAGCAGCCCUGAGAGGGUGGGCAGCCACACUGGGACUGUGACACGGCCCAAAGUCCUUCGGGAGGCAGCCGUAGGGCAUCUUCGGCCAUGGGCGAAAGUCUGACCGAGCAACGCCGCGUCAGUGUAGAACGUCUUCGGGUCGUAAAUCUCUGUUGGUAGGGAAGAACGUUGGUGAGAGUGGAAAGCUCAUCAAGUGACGGUAACUACUAAGAAAGGGACGGCUAACUACGUG
Molecule: ribosomal RNA, 497 nt
Filed under: uncultured bacterium
Lineage: Bacteria
Description: partial 16S ribosomal RNA
Rfam family: Bacterial small subunit ribosomal RNA
Source: RNAcentral